GACAGAGGGGGCAAGCGUUGCUCGGAAUCACUGGGCGUAAAGGGCGCGUAGGCGGGAUGGCAAGUCAGUCGUGAAAUCUCUCGGCUCAACCGAGAAACGUCGGCUGAUACUGCCGUUCUUGAGGGAUGCAGAGGAGACUGGAAUUCCCGGUGUAGCGGUGAAAUGCGUAGAUAUCGUAAGGAAGACCAGUGGCGAAGGCGGGUCUCUGGACAGUUCCUGACACUGAGACACGAAGGCCAGGGGAGCAAACGGG
This 253-nucleotide ribosomal RNA is filed under the name uncultured bacterium. RNAcentral's name for it is "partial 16S ribosomal RNA". It matches the Rfam family "Bacterial small subunit ribosomal RNA", at positions 524 to 776 of the family's 1533-position model. The record is from RNAcentral.